CGCCGCGUGAGUCAGCUCGGCGUUUCGGCGUUACUCGUUGGCUACGCCUUCAGGGCGCGCCCGGAGCGCGGUGCUGGGGGCGGGCGGUUGGGCCUGGCGGGCUGCGGCGAGGCGGGUGGUCGCCUCCGGGAGCGCGGGAGAACUUUAACCCGCCCAGUUCGGAGUUGAGAAUUGCUAGCGCCCCUCCCCGGGCUUGAGAAGAGGGAGAGCAGGGAAGGACAGUGAAGGACUCGGUGCCUAACCUUGAGUUUUACGAUACAUUCAUUUAGGGGUUCGAAACAUACUAGUUUUGCUCCACAAGUCGCCGCCAGGGCGGCCACCGAACCCCUCCGACCCCCGUGGAGGCCAGCUAGUGCUACGUUGCGCGGAGUCCGCGUGGACGCGCCACUUGAACAGUGGGGACAAUCCGCGUCAUCACGAAUGUCCUCCCGCUUAGGGCUUUUUUGGAAAGUCUCUCUCGAAGGUCUGAGUGGGGAGACCCGGGCGUAAAGGCCUCCAGCCAGGAGCCAGGGGUUCCCCCCACAACCACCCCUUGUGACCCCAUGAGAGCGCUACGCUGACCAGUGCCCGGAGGUCUGUGAGCACCGCGUGGGAGGCCGCGUCCAGCAGUCUCGGUCUCCCAGCGCGGGUCAGGACCGGCUGCAGUUGCUCUUGUGCCUUACGAGUCGCGGCGAGAAGGGCGCAAUGUCAAGAUCGUUCUUCCAGCCGAGCCGGCGAGCCAGGGCCUGCUCCCGACUCCCGCUGGGGAGGCGCCGGGCCCAGCUCGCUUCAGGGCCCCGCUGAGGGCGCGUUUCUCGGGAUUCGCGCCGCACGGUCGGCCUGGGGGUUGGGAGAGAGGGCAGCAAACAAGAUCUUUCUCUGGAUGGGAAGCUCCAUUUCGCGGCAAAGCGGGUCGGGUAAACAGGUCGCGCGAACGUUCCAUGGAACUGGAAGCCCCAGGGACAUUGCUGGCAACCUCCUACGCCGACCAAACGGGAGCCCUCUCACCAAUAAUGGACAUGCUGAAGAUGCCAAAUGGAGAUGAGAGGCCCUGGAGGAUGAGAAGUCACAUGGAGGAGAACUGAGGCACGUCGGCCAAUAGCCAGCACCAAAGGCUGGCCAUAUAAUGUGGCCCAGUAACAGGAGACCUAUGGUAGUUACAUGGGAACCUGUGUUAGUUUGUCUCUGAGACUCUACGCAUAGCCUCAUUUGAAGAUUAUGGUCGGAAGUCUAAAUCUGAAGCUCUUUGUGAAAAUGAAGUUUGAGCCAAAGGCACUCCUGCCAGAUACUGAAUCUGCUGAUCCCAUGAUCUUGGACUUCCUGGCUUUCAGGCUGUAAGAAACAAAUAUUUGUUGCUGGUAACCCACCAAGUUUAAGGUAAUUUUGUUAUAGCAGCCAAAACAGACUCAGACAAUGGAUGUUUGUGUCAUUUCUAGUUUCCAGGGCUGUGGCUGACACCCUUUCAGUAUCUCUUUGUGCUCAUGCAUGAGAGAUUCUUCAGAGUACAUAACAAGAAGUGGAAUUACUGGGUCACAGAGGAUAUCGAUUUUCAGAACUGCUUGGUAUUGCCAAAUGAUUCUUAAAGAGGCUGUACAAGGUAUACUGAAGGCAGCUAUUUUUAGAGCUUACAUUUUACUCUCAUAUCUUUGCCCUGGGUCCUCAAUGCAGACAAUGUUAUGCAUUCACCUUUAGAAAUCUUCUAAACUAACCACUCUUAUCGUACAUAGUUGCGUGUUAUGACACUUUAAAGAUUUUUUAAAAAGACAUAUUCAUUGCAAAAAAUUAAAACAGUUCAUAAAAGCGUUCAUAAAAGGUAAUAAUCACCUGAUAUCCUAGCACUCAAAGAAAACCACUAUUGCCAUUUUGAUGAAUAUCUUUCCAAACAUUUCUGGUGCAAAUGGAUAUGUGUGCAAAGUUGCAUAAAUGGAAUCUGGCAGGCUAGUUUAUUCCCUGCCUUUUUAUUCAACAGUCAAUUAUGAACACCUUGAGAUAGUUGUCCAAAUCUGCAAAACUCCUUGAUUUCUUCUGGCUUGGAGUGGCUUUGAAGUUAGAAGAUGAGGGGAGGGGAAGUGAGGAGAGAGGGCUAAUAGUGGCAAAGGGCUUGGUACAUGUUCCCUCUGAUUUCCUCAUCCCAACCAUCCCGGGAGGCAGGUGCUACCACCGAGCCUACAGAUGGGGGAAUUAAGGUCAUAGCAACAGAAGCAACAGACUCAAAAUUCAGUAAGUUCUCCCCCCUCAUCGCACUGCAUCUACUCCCCCUGUUCACCCCUCCUCCUCUCCCAUGGGGCUUCCUCAGUCCCUUACAGAUGCAAAGGGUGAAAGACACUGGAAGACCCAGAAGAUGGGAGGCCCACGUCUCACCAAAACCUUGGUGAAGCCCACAGGGGAGAGAAUACAAAAAGCUUCCCUCACUGAGGUAAACAUCUGCUUUCCCUCUUCUUACCUCAGAAAAGACGGCAGCAGUGUAUUCCUGAAGGCCCUCUGAGGGGCAUUAAUCUGGAAGCAUCUCAGAGGAGAGGGCAAAGGGCCAUUUCUUGGCUGGGUGGAAGCAGCCAGAUCCUGAGAAAGGGUUUGAACCAAUCCCAGACUUGCAAGGGGUAGGAGGGUCAAGGAACACAGGAAGGCAGAGAUCAGGGUAGCUAGUGGUUUGCCAAGUCUGCGUAAGUCCCUCUCUGAGCUGCCAGGCAUGCCUGGAAGACCUGUGGUGAGGAGCUGGGGUCAGCCGUGGCUUCAUGUAGCCGAAGGAGCAACAGUAAAGAGGGAAACCACCGGGGCCCAAGGACAUGGCCUCCCUUCCCACCCCUGCCAUUGGGUAGCACGACAUAAGCCCACAUUUCUAGUAGGUUCCCAGGAUUGGGGGAGGGAACACCCUAAUCUUUGGGAUGCUAAAUUUUGUUUUGGAGAAAUAAAGGAAAGUGUCAUUCCUUGAAUUGGCUAUUGUGGCCUCAAAUGCCGGGCUGAUGAUACUGGUAUGCAACCCAUACGGUCACCCAGAGCCCUGCCCUUGGUUUAAUGCUCUGCCAUCACCAUCUUAAAACUCUUGGUAAAUUUUUGAAGAAGGAGCCCCACACUUCCAUUUUGCAGUCAUGCAAAUUACAUAGCGGGUCCUGUGAAAAUGCAUGUCUGCUGUAUGCCGAUAGGGCAGACAUUCCGAAAGUUUUCUAUAUUUAGGAGAAAUCCUCACUGAGAACAGGAGCAGUUAUGAGAAUGCUAACUACUGACCAAAGCCACUGUGGGGUUGCCUAGAUACAUCUCUCCCAUGAAAACAGGGUUAAAUAUAAAGGGAAUAUGUGUCAUGAUGACACUAAAUAUGAAAACCAUGGUGGUACACAGAAAGGGGUGGCCACGAUGAAAGCAAAGCUGCUGGGGGUGGAAGCGGGGAGGUGUUUUCUUGUGGGUUUCGGUGUUGAAGUCUCGAAAGUGCCGGUGAGCCCUGACAUAUGCGUCUCCAGAGCCCCGGUCUGCUCCCAGGAAUGAGUGCUCACCCAGCGCUGACAGCUCCCAGGAAUGCUGACGGUUUGGGGCAUUUCUCGCUGCAGAGACCCCACUUGUUUUUAGGCCUGAAAUUUGCACAGAACUUCAGAAGUUAUACAUCAAUCUAGAGUCUUUGUAUAUAUUUGGAACUGAAUAAUCUACUUUUGAAGCUGUCAGAUCGUGAUGUCUAUGAUGUUUUUCACUUGGUUUCCAGGUUCUUGGGGGCUUAAAUGACUGCUUUAUGGAAAGAGGAUGCUUUUUUCCAAGGUUCCAAAAUUCGCACUGCUCUAGUUGGAAGCUCCCAGAAGCCCCCUGCAGGUGGUUAGGUGUUUGUUGGUACUGGACAAAAAUAUCCCCUGGAGAUGAGAGGUCUGGUGUGACAGGUGUGACCAGGGGUCAGGAGCCCGGGGUGCAGCACCCCUGGGAUGCAGACUCCCACCUGCCUCCACGUGUUCACUCUCCCUCACUGCAGGGCACGUUCUCUGUAAUUAGCACAGGACAGCUGCCUCCAGUUCCCAAAGGUAGCCUUAACCACCCACCGCAGUGUAUCAGGCACAGACUGAGUGCUAGGUUCAGGUGCUCACCAUGUUCUGGGUGCAGCUCUAAGCCUCUCUCAUGGGUGAUUCUGUUUAACUCUCAGAACUGCCCAGCGAAGCAGGCGCUCUUAUUACCUCCUUUCAACCGAUAAGAGAAACAAGACACUGAGAGGCCAGAGAAACUGACGCAAGCUAGCAAGUGUUGGAGCUAGAAUUCAAAGACAGGCUGAGCUGGUCAGUGGGAUCUCAAGGUCGCUUACCCAGUGGGUGGGGAGAAAGAGGAGGCUAAUUACAAUAAGGAUCCCAGAGCAAAGGUGCAAGCUGACAUCCAGGAUCUCUCCUGGCUGUUUGGACAAGAGAGAGACCACAGGGUUGAGCCUCAUGGGGGAGAUGGUGAUGCCUAGCAGGCAGGGAAGCAGGGCACCCUGCACCUCUCAGACAUUGACCGUGGACAGGCUCCACCCUCGUGAUGCCCAAGCCAGGCCAGGCUAAUAGGUUUGCAGUGAGUGACUUGGGACCGUUCUGAGCAUUGCCCAGUGCAGCUCACCCAAAGGCCCUGAGGCAGCCUCUACAGCAGAAGGUACUGUCACCUGAAAAAAAGAUCAGGUUCAGUGAAAGAUCUGGUCCCCCAGAAACUUGGAAGCCAAGAUGAGCCUUGCUCUGCUUUGUGCCCUAAGGGUGGAAUAUAAGGCAGGUGGGAAGAGUCUGCCCUAGGUACUUGAAACAGCUGUCAGAGCUCAACAGAGGUGGUCACAUUCAGUGUAAGAAUAGGAGUGUGUGGGUGAACCUCUGUAAAUGCCAGGGAGGUAGGUCAAAAACAAUAUUGGCAAUUUGGUUUGUUAAUUCUAAUCCAAUCCAGCCAGGAGCUGACUGCCCACUGUGGCCGGGGAGGGUAGGUGAACUCAGUGAACCAGUUAAUGCAGGGAGCAGGGGCAGCCAGCAUGGGGAAGACAGACACACUGGAUUACAAAAGAGGACAGUUGGGACAGUUGUGUGAGACAUUCAAGAGAGCCCUUGAGCCUGUAGGAAGGAACUUGUUGCGGCUGCAGCAUUUCCAUGAGCAGAAGCUGGAGGUCAGUGUCCUGUGAAUAUUGUUCAGACUCUUGGGAAUGAGGGUUACACUUACACACAGGCAGAAGUGACCAGGCUGGCAGCAUCAGCUAAGCGUCACUGCCGCCCAUGGUUCUAGGUGGUCAGGGGAGGCUUCAUGGAGGGAGUGAGUCUUGAGCUAAUCCUUCAAGAAGGAGCAACAGUAAGGGGUGGGAAUUAAAAACAUGUGCAGAGAAGGGGAGACUAUGAGAGAUGGAGAGACCUAAACUUCUAAAGGUAUUUUAUAUUCUUUAUUUUUUAAAAGAUUGUAUUUAUUUAUUUCACAGAGACACAGUGAGUGAUCGCACAAGCAGGGGUUGCUGCAGGCAGAGGGAGAAGCAGGCUCCCCACUGAGCAGGGAACCUGAUGCAGGCUGAUCCCAUGAUCUGGGAUCAUGACUUGAGCCGAAAGCAGAUGUUUAACCAGCUGAGCCACCCAGGUGCCCACUAAAGGUAUUGUAAAAUAGAGAAAGUCACAAAUUAGUAUGGAUACCAUGAUUCCUUUUUUGUUAAAAACAUGUAUGAAUAGGGGCGCCUGGGGGGUGCAGUCAGUUAAGCAUCCAGUUCAAUUUCAGCUUGGGUCAUGAUCUCAGGGUUCUAGGAUCGAGCCCCACAUAGAGCUCCUUGUUCAGUGGGGAGUUUGCUUGUCUCUGUCUCCCUCUGGCCCUUCCCCUGCUGUUCUCUCUUUCUCUCUCAAAUAAAUACAUAAAUCUUUUAAAAAGUAUGAAUAUAUACAUCUGCAUAUAGGUAGUCAUAAAUAAUAAAAUAAUGACAUAUGGAAGAUUAUUUAUUAAAAUCUUAACUAUGCUGUCAUUAUUGGGUAGUUUUUACUUCUUUUUGCUUAUCUGUAUUUUCUAAUUCUUCUACAAUAAGCAUUUGUUACUCGUGUAAGUUAUGGAAUACAGGCUACCCUAAGUCCUAUCAAUAUAGUAAUGCUUCACGUAGGAAGCUACUACCUGACUGUAAGCUGGAAUUCAUCUAAGGUAUUACUGGAAUAAGAAGAUUUCUUUAAUUCCUAGUGAAUAUAACAUAAUGGUUUAUGAACAUGCACUCUAUAGGUUUGAUUCUGUCUCCACAUCUUGCUAGCUGGUGAAAUAGAAUGAUGAUAGUACCUACCUCUGAGGCUCUUUUUGAACUCAAUAAAUGUUAUUAUUAGCUUCUCUCUCACCUGCCUUCCACAUACCCAGACCCUUACAUGAACAGCCCUCUCAACCAUCACCAUGAAGGUGGUGUAGACCCACAAGGGCUUCUCAAAAUUGAAUAUGUAUGUGAAUGAUCAGAAGAUCUUGUUUAAAUGAGCGUUCUGGGGAUGCCUGGGUGGCUCAGUUGGUUAAGCGGCUGCCUUCGGCUUAGGUCAUGAUCCCAGCGUCCUGGGAUUGAGUCCCGCAUCGGGCUCAUUGCUCAGCAGGAAGCCUGCUUCUGCCUCUGCCUCUGCCUCUGCCUGCCACUCUGUCUGCCUGUGCUCACUCUCUCUGACCAAAUAAAUAAAUAAAUAAAUGAGGGUUCUGACUCAGGAGGUCUGGGCCUAAGAGUCUCCAUUUCUAACAACCUCAAGGUAAUGUCAUGCUGCCAAUCCAUGGACCACACUAUGAGACAAGAAGGUAAGGGUGAGUUAAUGUCUUUAUACAAUAUCCAGAAACAAAAGUGCCCUUAAAUAUAUUCAGAUGUUACCUGUCAAAGGGUUCUCUUUUCCCUUGGACAGCACUCUGUCCUGUCCAUAAGUAAAUUUAAACACUUCUUCUGUGUGCUGGGUUCUGGGAAAUCGAGGCAUCUGUUACAAGACUGGGCCCUGCCCUUAAGGAGCUUGCAUUCAACACCAAGCUGUGAAAAGAACUUAUCCCCAGCUAAGCAAGGGCUCUAGACGGUGAGUGAAUGAAAGCAGGACCCCAGGGUCUGCUUUAAAUGCUUCAGAGAACUCAAGUCCAAAUACCUCCUUUGAAACAUUGAGGAUUAACACAUGCUCCGGAUAUGGGAUCGCAAGAAUAAGUCUUAGCAGUUAACGGAUGAGUCAUGUCUCUCUACAUAAAUAUAUGCUCCCAGAGGGUCUGUGAGGUUGUGGUGUAUUGUUUUCAUAGUUGCAAGUCCUCCCAUUCCUGGUUGAAUGGAAGAACCAGGGGUUGAGAUAUGGAAGUCAUCUGGAACAUAAAUACAUAGGCUUGUGGCACUACCACGUCAUUGUAUCCAUUGUGGAAGGAACAUGUUUGUCUCAUUUGGCUGCAUUUUGUGGGGCUUUCAGCUCCCACUGUAUUCCAUUUGAAGAUUAUUAUUUACUAUGGAAACAGUGAUGUCAAGUUGAUGUGGGUGGAACUCUGACCAUGAAGAAACACAAAAUAGUUCAUCACACAGGGUGCAAGUUAUUAUUAGACUUAGCAGUUGCCAGUUUGGGCAGGCACUCCUGCCCCCGUGUUUGCAGGGAGCAGGCGGGCAGGCUGUGGAGUAGCACACUUGGGGGAAAGUGUCCAUUUUCAAAGGCAUGGGCAUCUUGGAAUAAAGCUAUCAGCCCUGUUGAAACAGGACUUGGUCUGCCAACAGGAGCAAUAGGAACGGAGAGGUGAUUUAAUGGGGGCCUGUGGACAUAAGUGAUCCACUGUGUGAAGAUUUUCUUGAGUGAUGAUUGUCCUAGGAAGCCAGAACUCUCUUCUACGUGAGGAAUUUCUAUCAGGUGCGGACCCUUUGGAAGGAGAACUCCUGGAUAAUGGAGCUCUCUGGGAGUACUUGAAGCCAAGCAGGCCUGAGGUGGGCAUGAACUGCUGUGAGAAGCCAUGGGGCCAGAAGAGGGCCAUAGGCCUAGCUCAUAGGGGCAGGGGUUGCAAAUAAGAUUUCCCAGUAAAUCAGUCAUUUUUAUCAGGUGCUAAUUAUGUUCCAGACAUUAUAUCCUUUGGUUCUCUCAAUAAGCCGUGUAUUUGACCUGAAUUCUAGUGUUGCUUCCAUCUCACAGAUAUGGAAACCGAGACUAAGGGAAGGCAAGAACUCACCAAAGGUCUUAACAGAGUGAUGAAAUGAGACAAUGAAGUCAUUCUGACUCCAGAACCUACUUUUAAAAACACUACUCCAUGUCCUUAAAGAAAAAGAUGGAGCCAGGACCUCAGAGUUUACUGUAUUCUACUCAAAGAGUUUGGUUAUCACUAGAUCCAUGAAACACACCCCAUGGUCUGGAGACAUGGCCCCCAACCGGGGGUGGGUGUGACCAGGUUCCCUCCGCCGGUUUUCCCUGGUUGAAGGCAAUGAAAUCUUGGACUGGAGCCUGUGAGAGAAUACCAUUGCCUUACUUUACAAAGCUCCUAUGGUGGCUCCAGGCACAUGCUAAGCAACACAAGAGGCCCAGACUGUUCCACUCAACCGAUAAAGGGGACAGAAGUAUGGCAAUUUUCAUAGAAAUACUCAAAGUUACUCAGCCAGUAAGAAGCCAAAUCCUGGGACUAUGGGAGUCAGCCCUUGACUGUUCUGCUCUUUGCAUGCGGUCCCAAGACCUGGUGACUGUGGGUGAGUUCGAGGGCCACCAAGGUCCCAGAGUGCCUGCUGAUCCAGCAGGACAGUGUAGGAGUCCCCUUUCACAAGGCCAAAUGGAGAUGGAGGCCGGGAGAGGGCUCAGCCAGAUUUACAGCUAUUUAACACUUCAUCUGUUGGGACAUACUCUACUUCUCAGCGCCCAGAGCUACCUUCUCACGUGGUUUGUCCCCGCAUUAUUCCCCUAUACACAUGUUCUCUGAAGCACUGCUGAGUGUUUCCCUUGUGCCAGACAUGGGGCCUUUGGGUGGCAGAGAGGGGUCAGUGGGGCCGUCUGACCUAAGGCCCCAGCUCUAGAAAGAGGUUCCCAAGGAGGAGGCUACAUCCCCAGGGCUGAUUUCACCCACAGACUCUAGCCUCUAAGUCUUUGUGUAGGAAUUGAAAAGUCAAAGAGGAAAAUGAAAAGAAAAAGAUUCUCAGACAACAUAAACAAAAAAGCUCUGUGUAGAGGCUCAUAGAAAACCAGUCCUCUGUUUCUAAUGGUAUCUGGGUCUGAUAGGGAAGGGGCCUCAACACACACACUCAAGGCUAUGGCAUAAGUCUGGGCAGGUUAUCCCCAGUAUAGCUGCAGGGGACACCAUUCACAUCAAAGUAUACGUGAGUCAGACCAUUGGUUUUCUUAAACUUGGUUGCACAUUGGAAUCACUUGGGUGACUUUAAAUAUUGUUGACAUCUUGUUCCCUCCUCUAGAGAUUCUGAUUUAAUUGGUCUGAGAUGCAGUGUUGGCUCUGGGAUUUUUCAAGCUGUUCAGGUAGCUCUAAUAUGUGGCCAUGUUUGAGAACCACUGAAUUAGACUAUGCUGUGAAUGGUGUCCACUGGGGGAUGUGUGGUAUACAAUGUCUUAGCCUGUCAAAUUGGCCCUGCCCAUACACAUAUGUCAUCUUCAAUGACCUGAACUUGCUAGUAGGGGAGAUCACAGAUUAAAUACAUACUUCUCUGCCUCUUGAGUCAGUUUCCCUGAGGUUGAAGAGAGUGUAGGUACUGACCUCUGAGCCUUUGAAGGCUCUCUUAUACUUCCUGCAUCCUUCUGAAGGAUGAAGGAGAGGCAGGGGUCUAAUCCUGCUGAAAAUGGGGAGUUUGUCAAGCUGGGUUUUGGAAGCUGCCGGUCUGUCACUCUACCCAGGGGAAGCAUGCUGUUUUGAUCUCCUGGCUGAGUGAUUUAGGCCCUCAGAAGAAUCUGGCUUGUUUCCCCUGAUGCCUAGGUUAUAAAUCAGCCACGGUUAGCAGCUGCAUUUUACUCUGUCAGACCACAAGGGAACUGUAGUAGUUUUUACUGAAUUAGAAACUUAAUUGCACUAAAUAUAGCUCUGAUGCCCCAAAGAAGUUAUGGCAGCUCCCAAAGGUGUCUGGCUUCCUAUAUUCUCCCCCCUCUCUCCCCACCCUGAACUCAGAGAACCAGUUAAACUCUGAGCAAUUCAAAUCAUUAAAUCCCAGCUUCUGGAAUGAAUGUACUUUGUUUUGAAUAUGUCAGUAUCAUUAAAUCCUGCCAUGUGAAUUUAAUGUCACUGUUUCCCUAACAACUAAUGUCCUUCACAUGUGAAGAUGGAGGACAUGGAAAAUCCCACAAAAACCUAGAGAAAUGAGACAAGUAUGUGACACAGCAAGUUCUUGGUGUCAUGGUACAGUCCAAACCUUGCCUGUUUUAUGAGUUAGAUGCUCUGUAACUCAUUGAUGCUUCCCGCUGAUGAGUGCAUCUGUUGUUCUAAAAUUACAAGGCAAGCUUCUUGGGCUAAAACCUUACAUCUGGCAUGUGUAUUUAGAUUUGGCAUUUCAAAGUUAGUAUUUUUGGUUCAGCAGAGGGAUUCAAAACAAAUAUUUUCUGCAAAGUUCCACAUUCUUGAGUGGAUAGUUGAAUCUAGCCUGAGUGAGAGAGGAAGGACCAAGUAUGGAAGAGGCCGCUAGCUGCUACCCAGCAUCCAUUCUACUCUCUUCCCUUUGCAAUAGAACAGCAGGAACAAAAACAACCCUGUUUCCCAGAAUGCCUUGAGCUUGGUGAAGCCACAGGACCAAACUGGUUGGUGAGGCAGAAGUGGAAGUAGAACAUGGAGCUUCCAGGGAAGGCUUUCUUUAGGAGAAUCUAAUCAGAUGUGAGGUUUGUCCUUUUUUCAUUUCUUUUUCUUUUCUUUUCCUUCUGCCUUCUAUAAUGGGGACAUAAUGCCAAGCUUCCACAGUCACUUGGGACCAUGAGAUGACUUUGAAGAAGAAAGCAAGGUUUGAAAAGAUGUCAGCUGAAUACACAAGUCUAAGUAGCCAUGGGGUGCCUCCUGCCAUAGGCCUUUGAGAACCACAGAGGAAGCUGGGAGGUCCGUCUGGGCGUCAGCGGAGCACCUGGACCAGAAAGGUGACCCCCGAGGGAGCCCACAGAGGACUUCAGUGACAACAUGGAUGUGUGAAAACUCUUUCACACACAUGGAGCCAGGUGCUGGCUGUGUGGAGGAGCCUGCGUGGGGCCAAAUGGUAUGAGUUGCAGAUAGCGCCCUGGUGACCUUGACAAGGACAGCCACUACUGAGAACCAGGCAGGAAACUCUCUUUGUCGGUAAGAAGUCUACACCUCGGUUCCUAUGAGGAUCUUCUGUUUUGGGGGAGCAACACCAGCCACCAGGGGGACAUGGGGCUUCAGCCAGCUCUGCUCCAGGGAUCCAACAGUCAACAAAACCAGUGAGGCACCCCAGAGGUCGGAAGCUGAAAACAGAUACCCACAGCCAGUUCUUCACAAACAAGAGGUUUUAUUUUUAUACUGUACCCCCACCCUCUGCCAAAUAAGUGGGGAGAGCUCUGAAAGGGCAGAUUUUGUAGUCGAGAGCCACUGAGGGCAAGUGAAGCUGAGAUUCAUGCCUGGCAUAGGGGAGCAAAGGAAGAAGGACUGAGGUGUCUGGGGAGUGCCCCACCUGUGCUAGAUACCUCCCAGAGUUCUGAAGGAGGGAGUGAACCCAGACCCACACUGCACAGGGGAUCUGUCCUUCUGUGGGCCCAAGGGCAGAAAGAAGACAUCCUAAGAGCUUUGCGAAAGUAUCUUCCCCUUGGUGGCUGGGCCUCACCUCACAGGCCUCAAUAAUUCCUGUCCUACCCUGUCAGGAUGGUCAGCUAUCAUCCAUCUCUCCAGCCAAAAGACCCAGCCCUAGUCAGCUCCUAGAAGAUGUUUCCAGACAAUAUUUCAUUCUUAAGGAGCCUGUCUCUUUUGAUUAACAAGACCUUUUAGUUUUCUUCUGAAUUCUAUAUAAAUAGCCAGAACAUGUGCUCCACUAAAGGCAAGGGUGGGGAAGGGUGUUCCCUGGUGCCCUGGUCUCUUGGGUCUGAGCUUUGCCAGCAAGGUCACUAUUACCCCCAGAUGACUCUGGGUCUUGGCCAAACCAGCAAGUGUUCAGAUCACAGCUCCCUUCCCAUUUAGGCUGUUCAGUAGCUUUCCAUUUGCUCUCCAGACACAACCUAAAAGGUUCAACGAGGCUGACCCCUUGGGUUCCGGCCUGGGCACUGAACCUUUGAGCAUGUGCCCGAAACCUGGGCCACUUCCCCCACUGAUAAUCUCAGGGUGGAUAACAUAGCCAGGACCAGACAGACUUUAACCCACUGUCCCAGGGAUGCAGUCCUCUAUACUGCAAGAAAGAAUGCUAAAAGGCAGACUUCUGGCAGACAAACUGGAAACCUGUCAGGAAUAUGUCCUUGCUGGUCAGAGAGACCAAGGAAGGACCUGGGGUUGGGAUCCAAAAGCCAUGCAGUGAGCUUACCAUCAUGCUGGUGCCCGCCACCCCAAAUAAAGACAGAGAGCGUGUUGUCCAGAAGCCAGAGAGCAAGGGGGUGGAUUGUCGGGUAGCAGAAGGCAUCUCUGUUUGAGUGCGGCUGCAGUGGGACUGUCAGUUUCCACAGCCUGCAAGAUGCCCCCUGACACCAGAGGGGUUGCCAGCCAUCUUCCUCCUUCUCUUUGACUGGGUAUCAGCCGCUGUUCCUGCAGCUCCCAGCACAGUCCUCAGACGUCAAGAUACACCAGUCGCAUGGCUAUCCAGUGUGAACAGCACUCCCUGGGGUUAUGCAAGUCAAGGGCCUUGACUACAUUUCCUCAAGCAGGCCCCCAUGACCCUCCUGAAGAGUCCAAAUCCCACUUGAAGCUACAGGACCCUUUUUGGAUGUUGGAGAGUAACUGGUCAGAUCUCUCCACCCCCUGCCCUCCAGACAAGAAGAUCUAUAAGGGCAGAGCAGAAGCUGUGCUCUCUGGUGGUUGAGUGUUUCACUUCUAUAUCUCCACUUGAUUGCCCAUGUUUGGCCACAGAGGAGAUACUCAAUAAAUGUUGAAUGAAUGAACACAUUCUCAUCCCUCCACUCCUGCCCCCGACCAUUGCAGGCCUGCCCCCCACCCUGAGCUCCUGAAGCUCUGAGUCCAUUUGGGAGGCAUCAGUUAUCUCUAUGUUAGCCCUUUUUCUCUCUUAGGAACAGUUGGUGCUGAAUCAUUCUGCCUGGAGAUAAAGACUCCCCAAGGCCACUUCCCUGCAUGUGGGACUUCCAGAAUGCCUGGGAGAAAUCGUCAGUCCUGCCUGCCCAACUGCCACAUGUGGACACAUCUUUUUACUGUUUGAGCUUUCCUUGAUGCUCAUUAUAACCCAAAUCCAGGAUCUAAAGCUGUGGGCUGAGUGAGGAUGAGCAGGGAAAGGGGGUCAGGGAGGCAGGCAUGCAGGGUAUCAUGGCCAGUGGGUAUGCUGCUGGUGAUGCAUGGCUGUGUCCCUGUCCCCACACUUCCUCCCCAGAACCAAUGGCCCUCAGCUAGGAAUCCAGCAUUUCGUGAAUAUUGCUUCUGUAAACGGAAUCCUCUUUUUCCAUCCCCUUCUAUCAUCACACAUCAAAAUGAAUUCUCAUAUAGAAAGGUUCUAUUCCUAAGAUAAAAUACAAAUCACAACAAUAAUGUAUCAAGUAUAUUUUAAUCAUAUCUUUGGAAAACUAGAUGUUUUUGGUAAAAAUUUAUUAAAAUCACUCCUUAUAUACACAUAGUACCAAAAUUUUAAGGUAUUGCUAAAUCCUGUCUUCCUUUGGGAUGAGUGUCCCUUAUCUCAAGUGACAGGAAAAUAAAGAAAAUAUUUUCUUUUAAAACCCGACAGUUGUAACUGUCUCUUCUUAAAUCUUUGAUCUCUUGUGGUUGUUUAUUAUAUAGUUCAGAUUCAGGAAGAUUAAGAGCACCAACUUCUUUUAUAAAGAAGGCAAGCUUGUCUUGACCAUAAGGGUUGUUUCCAUGAUUCAUGAUUUUCCAGGUACUGACAUGAGGCUCUAUUUUGUCUAAUUCAGCAGAACUCAUAGACAGGUGCUUAGAGAGGUCCCCAUGUUCUGUUGGUCACUGGGCCCAAUUAGCUCUUUUCCAACACAGAUCCCAGCCUAGUGGGCAAACCAGGUUUUAGCCUUGCUAAAGAGUCACUGUGACCCAGUGAUAACUUAAGGAUUUAUUGACACCGCUGUCCCAUCAUAUUUAUUUUGUAUGGUUUUUAGUUUAUUUUGUAGCCAGCUAUCUAAUCCCUUUUUAUUUUUUUUUUAAUUUUUAUUUAUUUAUUUGACAGAUCACAAGUAGGCAGAGAGGCAGGCAGAGAAAGAGAGGAGGAAGCAGGCUUC
Mustela lutreola (European mink) is the source of this 14171-nucleotide long non-coding RNA. RefSeq lists it as uncharacterized. NCBI's taxonomy places the organism in Eukaryota, Metazoa, Chordata, Mammalia, Carnivora, Mustelidae. The record is from RefSeq and is a predicted model, not a curated record. The transcript has 7 exons.